RNAcentral lists this ribosomal RNA (1201 nucleotides) under metagenome. RNAcentral's name for it is "bacterial LSU rRNA". It matches the Rfam family "Bacterial large subunit ribosomal RNA", at positions 1685 to 2875 of the family's 2925-position model. The record is from RNAcentral.
UGCGCUUGAGAGAACUCAGGAGAAGGAACUCGGCAAAUUGACACCGUAACUUCGGAAGAAGGUGUGCCUUUAGUAGGUGAACCAUUUACUUGGGGAGCCCAAUGAGGCUGCAAAAAAUCGGUGGCUGCAACUGUUUAUUAAAAACACAGCACUCUGCUAAGACGAAAGUCGACGUAUAGGGUGUGACGCCUGCCCGGUGCUGGAAGAUUAAAUGAUGGGGUGCAAGCUCUUGAUUGAAGUCCCAGUAAACGGCGGCCGUAACGAUAACGGUCCUAAGGUAGCGAAAUUCCUUGUCGGGUAAGUUCCGACCUGCACGAAUGGCGUAAUGAUGGCCACACUGUCUCCUCCUGAGACUCAGCGAAGUUGAAAUGUUUGUGAUGAUGCAAUCUCCCCGCGGAAAGACGGAAAGACCCCAUGAACCUUUACUGUAGCUUUGUAUUGGACUUUGAACAGAUCUGUGUAGGAUAGGUGGGAGUCUUUGAAGUGUGGUCGCUAGAUCGCAUGGAGCCAACGUUGAAAUACCACCCUGGUGUGUUUGAGGUUCUAACCUAGGUCCAUUAUCUGGAUCGGGGACAGUGCAUGGUAGGCAGUUUGACUGGGGCGGUCUCCUCCCAAAGUGUAACGGAGGAGUUCGAAGGUACGCUAGGUACGGUCGGACAUCGUGCUAAUAGUGCAAUGGCAUAAGCGUGCUUAACUGCGAGACUGACAAGUCGAGCAGAUGCGAAAGCAGGACAUAGUGAUCCGGUGGUUCUGUAUGGAAGGGCCAUCGCUCAACGGAUAAAAGGUACUCUGGGGAUAACAGGCUGAUACCGCCCAAGAGUUCAUAUCGACGGCGGUGUUUGGCACCUCGAUGUCGGCUCAUCUCAUCCUGGGGCUGUAGCCGGUCCCAAGGGUAUGGCUGUUCGCCAUUUAAAGAGGUACGUGAGCUGGGUUUAAAACGUCGUGAGACAGUUUGGUCCCUAUCUUCCGUGGGCGCUGCAGAUUUGAGGAAGCCUGCUCCUAGUACGAGAGGACCGGAGUGGACGAACCUCUGGUGUAUCGGUUGUCACGCCAGUGGCAUUGCCGAGUAGCUAAGUUCGGAAGAGAUAACCGCUGAAAGCAUCUAAGCGGGAAACUCGUUUCAAGAUUAGAUCUGCCGGGGCCUUGAGCCCCCUAAAGAGUCGUUCAAGACCAGGACGUUGAUAGGUCAGGUGUGGAAGCG